Molecule: long non-coding RNA, 3140 nt
Organism: Dermochelys coriacea (leatherback sea turtle)
Lineage: Eukaryota; Metazoa; Chordata; Testudines; Dermochelyidae
Exons: 2
Source: RefSeq, a predicted model, not a curated record
CCCUUUGUCUGUUGUCCCUGGGAGAGAGAGGACAGAGCAGAGUCAGGGCUGGGACUAUGCCGUAAAACGCUUUUUGUCAGGUAUUGAAUCAAAUGCCUACAGCUGCUUCUCAACCAACCCAAAGGCACACGAAGGCUCACCGUUCGCUGUUCAUCUCCCUCCCGGACAUGGAAUGUGUGUUCAAACACUGUAUACAUGAUCCUUCCAAUACCGAAUGAGGGCUCAAUCACAUUCGGGACUAUUUCUUCCACUAGAGCACAAAACACAUUGCAUUCAGAAAGGCAGUUUACAAAAGCACAGUUAUUUGAUUGAACCUGCACUCCUUCACACAGGUCUAGAUUUACUGCAGGUGAACGUAUAUAGAGAUGGGUUUAUAUAGCUCUGCUUCCAAUGGGAAUACUUGGAGAUCAAGAUUUGGACGACACAUACUGAUAAGGGUGCUAUCAUUUUAGUAUGAAUCUAGUUGUCUGAGCAAAGGAGAGGGGGAGACGGCACAGCAUUUUAGAAAAAGUCUUGGCAGACAAAUUGAGAAGCUAGAGUUUGUUAGUUUCUAGAACUAGCUUGUAUGCUUCUAAGUGACAAUGCCAUUUUGCUUAUAUGCUGAAAAGCCAUUUCUGAUGUACUAGCCUCGUGUUCCCAUCUUCACUGGUUAGAAUAAUAACUGUUCUGUGAAACAGGCCAGUGCUGCUCUGCCAGCCACUGUGGCACAACACCGUCUCCCACCGGGAUUAUAUUUACAGGUCAACUUAUGCCAUUUUUAAUUUGUUUCUAAGAGCCAUAGCCCUAUGAAACAUGGAUACAGAACAUUAGAUUCCUUCACUCUGGCUAUGCCUCCCCUUCCAGCCAUGAUGGAUAAGCUGAACUCUGAGUCUGUACUAAUACAAAUUAAGUGACCAGCAACCAAAACUCCAGCUGACUGCUCUGAGAUAAUAAAAUGGAGAUGGACUACGAGUGUAGUUACUUUCUACCACUGACUGACAGGCACUUAGAGACCUUGCUAAUGCCUGAAGAUUGUGUACGUCUCUGAGGCAGAGUAAGAGUUAAGGAUGCUCUGCACCUAACAGGAAGCACUUUGAAUCUUGCAGGACUGGCUCGUAAGUGAUUAAAAAAAAGCUGAGGAAGGAUGAUGAUCUAGUGGUUAGGAUGCCUACCUGGAUCUCUGAGUUAGAAAAUGGGUUAAACUUCUAACUUGACCACAGACUUCCCAUGUGGCCCCAGUCAAGUCACUAAUAGAGCUGGUUGGCAAAACAAAGUUCACUUCCACAAAAGUUAUCAAGAUUUCGGAAGAACUGGGACGAAGCCAAAUCCUCAAAAAAUGUUGCAGAACUGAAAUCCUGCAAUAUUUCCUUUCAGACACAUGGUAUUUCCAAAGUGAUAUAUGCCCCCUGGGAUCCCCAGCCACCUGCUUGGCAGCCUGCAGUGAGGGCAGGCACCCUACAAGCUUCUGACUAAAACUGACACGACUGUCAGUGUUCUCUACUGUCCAUCACUGAAUAGCAGCAACGAAACUGACUCAACUCAUCUUCAGCCUGGUGGGGAGUCAGGAGUGUGGAAGCCCUGGGAGCACAGGCCCUGCUGCAGCCCAUCUCAUGGUGGGCUGCUAAGGAGUUGGGAGCUGUGACACUCACAGAUACACAACUUGUAGAGCAGACUGAGGAGCCAGCUGGCCCAAGAGUUUGGAAGCCCAGGGGUCCCUGACUCUGAGGCCAUCCUCAUGGCGAGCCAUCCUGGAGCUGUGGGCUCUGGAAGCCCAGGUGGGAGAGCUGGCAGGAGACCAAGCCUGGGUUGUCUCGGAAGUCUGUCAAAAUUGAACAGUUUUGUGAAACAUUUUGAUUUUGAUGAAUCAGCGAACAACGAAAAAAUGUUUGGGGAGAAUUUUUCCUACCAGCUCUAGUCACUUAGACUCUCUGGGCCUUAGUCUCCAUCUGUAAAAUGGGGAGAAUAGUACUGCCGUACCUCACAGGGAUGUUAUGAGGCUAAAUACAUUGAACAUUGCAGGUGCCUCACCUAUAGCGGUAAUGGGGGCCAUGUAAGUACCACAGAUAGAAGACAGUCUGUUUACUGAUAAUUACAGAAAGUGAUUCUUUUAUAAGAUGGAAUCCUAUAAAUAACUGUCUGACCAACUUUGACCUGUGCUGGAACUUAUCCUGAAAGGAAAUAAUUCAUAUGAAAACAGAGGGAACAUUUCUUUAAAAAAACCAUUAGCCCCAAAACUUGGUACCUUAACUUAGGCACCGUAAUAAAAAUAACUUGAUUUACCAAGGUGCUUCCACUGAAGUCAAUGAAAGCAGCAGGUUCUCAGCACCUCUGAGAUUGAGCCACUUAUUUAGGAACCUAUAUACUGAUUUAGGUGCUUAAUUUUAGGCACCUAAGUCUCAACAUUUUGACCACAACUUUCAGAUUUGCUUAACUAUCCUGCACUCAAAAUGUAUUGUGAUCAACUUCCCAUCUCUAAGAUUUUUAAAAAGUAAAUAAAGUUACCAUGCAGUUUUUUCUGGAAUCUCUUCACACUGACCAUGUCCUUUGUUAAUUGAAAAGUUUUCCCUUCAGUUUCAACAGUGAAUUCCCUGUAAAGAAAAUACCAGUGCUUUAGUAUUAGUCAACAAAACUAGUUAUGUCACUUUCCCUUAGGUGGUUUUGCUGGUUUAAUUUUUUUUUUUUUAAACAUAAAAAACCAAACUGGUUUGGAGGCUAUACUGAAAAGUCAGCUCAAACUCCAGAGAUCAAAGGAAGAAACAAGUAGCACGUCUCUCUCUCUUUUUUUUUUUUAAAUACUUAAAGUUUUAUCUAGCAUUUUUAUUAUUGUUGUAAAAUAAUAUUUUUCAUAAUCAUUGGUGAACAUAAAAGCAAUGUGGUUAAUAGCCAGGAGCAAAUUCAAUUACAAUAUGGAAGGGUUCCAGGGUGAAAUACAGAAAAAGAAAAAUUAACCACAGGACAACCAGACAUUCAUUCAUUACAGACUUUUCAUGUAUCGUAACACACACAUAUUUUUCAUGUCAAUUGAGUUCUGAUGGAGAGUACCUGACCUCUGCAUGGGAAUUGGAAAAAUCAAAGAUAUUAUUGAUCUGUUAAAGCUUCCCAAACAAGUGGAUGGGCCAAAAUCCAUUUUGACUGAUUCCUACAACUUUUGGUGUUGCUCU